This 53-nucleotide small nucleolar RNA is filed under the name Saimiri boliviensis boliviensis (Bolivian squirrel monkey). The record is from RNAcentral. Lineage: Eukaryota; Metazoa; Chordata; Mammalia; Primates; Cebidae.
CCUCAGUGACGAAAACUUUAACAUUAAGUGACGAUAACGUGUGUCUGAGGAGA